Molecule: ribosomal RNA, 566 nt
Filed under: uncultured bacterium
Lineage: Bacteria
Description: bacterial SSU rRNA
Rfam family: Bacterial small subunit ribosomal RNA
Source: RNAcentral
GUCGAGGAUCUUUCGCAAUGGGCGCAAGCCUGAUGACGCAACGCCGCGUGGAGGAUGAAGGUCUUCGGAUUGUAAACUCCUGUUGCCCGGGACGAAAAGCUCCGACCUAACACGUUGGAGUCUGACGGUACCGGGUGAGGAAGCCCCGGCUAACUCUGUGCCAGCAGCCGCGGUAAUACAGAGGGGGCGAGCGUUGUUCGGAAUUACUGGGCGUAAAGGGUGCGUAGGUGGCAUGGCAAGUUUGAUGUGAAAGCUCAGGGCUCAACCCUGAAAUGGCAUUGAAUACUGCUGUGCUGGAGGUUUGGAGAGGGUCGCGGAAUUCCCGGUGUAGCGGUGAAAUGCGUAGAGAUCGGGGGGAACACCAGAGGCGAGGGCGGCGACCUGGACAAGCACUGACACUCAACUGCGAAAGCGUGGGGAGCAAACAGGAUUAGAUACCCUGGUAGUCCACGCCGUAAACGAUGGGUACUAGGUUUGGUAGGUCUUGACCCCUGCCGAACCGGCGCUAACGCACUAAGUACCCCGCCUGGGAAGUACGGUCGCAAGACUAAAACUCAAAGGAAUUG